RNAcentral lists this ribosomal RNA (186 nucleotides) under uncultured bacterium. RNAcentral describes it as "partial 16S ribosomal RNA". It matches the Rfam family "Bacterial small subunit ribosomal RNA", at positions 1315 to 1500 of the family's 1533-position model. The record is from RNAcentral.
ACCACACGAAGCUGGAAUCGCUAGUAAUCGCGAAUCAGAAUGUCGCGGUGAAUACGUUCCCGGGUCUUGUACACACCGCCCGUCACACCAUGGGAGUCAGCAACGCCCGAAGUCAGUGACCUAACCGAAAGGGAGGAGCUGCCGAAGGCGGGGCCGGUAACUGGGGUGAAGUCGUAACAAGGUAGC